This 323-nucleotide long non-coding RNA is filed under the name Gossypium barbadense (sea-island cotton). RNAcentral describes it as "long non-coding RNA (GBAR_LNC023591)". The record is from RNAcentral. Lineage: Eukaryota; Viridiplantae; Streptophyta; Magnoliopsida; Malvales; Malvaceae.
AAGGUUUUGAUUAGUUGAAAGCUCAGUUAACUGAAGUAUUAGUUCUGGUUUAGUCUGAAAUCCGGUGAAGAAACUUGUGAUUUACAGGGAUAGCAGUGUUUUGAUGCAAGAAAGAAAACUAAUGAAUCAUGUUUUGGAGAGUUAGAAUUACAUGAGAAGAAUUAUUUGAUACAUGUUGUCUUUGCACUAAGAGAUCAUGAUUUGAUAAUUGAAUAUCAUCUAGGAAAAAGCAAAUGGAGUUAUGAAUACUCAGCAUUGAAAGUUUUGCUUUGUGUUAUGAACGAUGAACACUCUAUUGUCAUUAUCUAAUGAUCGCUCAAUUC